Molecule: ribosomal RNA, 434 nt
Filed under: uncultured bacterium
Lineage: Bacteria
Description: partial 16S ribosomal RNA
Rfam family: Bacterial small subunit ribosomal RNA
Source: RNAcentral
AGCGAACGCUGGCGGCAGGCCUAACACAUGCCAGUCGAACGAACCUUUCGGGGUUAGUGGCGGACGGGUGAGUAACACGUGGGAACGUGCCUUUAGGUUCGGAAUAACUCAGGGAAACUUGUGCUAAUACCGAAUGUGCCCUUCGGGGGAAAGAUUUAUCGCCUUUAGAGCGGCCCGCGUCUGAUUAGCUAGUUGGUUGAGGUAAUGGCUCACCAAGGCGACGAUCAGUAGCUGGUCUGAGAGGAUGACCAGCCACAUUGGGACUGAGACACGGCCCAAACUCCUACGGGAGGCAGCAGUGGGGAAUCUCGCGCAAUGGGCGAAAGCCUGACGCAGCCAUGCCGCGUGAAUGAUGAAGGUCUUAGGAUUGUAAAAUUCUUUCACCGGGGACGAUAAUGACGGUACCCGGAGAAGAAGCCCCGGCUAACUUCGUG